This 466-nucleotide ribosomal RNA is filed under the name uncultured bacterium. Its description in RNAcentral is "partial 16S ribosomal RNA". It matches the Rfam family "Bacterial small subunit ribosomal RNA", at positions 28 to 507 of the family's 1533-position model. The record is from RNAcentral.
GAUGAACGCUGGCGGCGUGCUUAACACAUGCAAGUCGAACGGAAAGGCCCAAGCUUGCUUGGGUACUCGAGUGGCGAACGGGUGAGUAACACGUAGGUGAUCUGCCCUGCACUUAGGGAUAAGCCUGGGAAACUGGGUCUAAUACCGGAUAGGACAACAUUUUGGAUGGUGUGGUGGAAAGUUUUUCGGUGUGGGAUGAGCUCGUGGCGUAUCGGCUUGUUGAGGGGGUAAUGGCCUACCAAGCCGUCGACGGGUAGCCGGCCUGUGAGGGUGUACGGCCGCAUUGGGACCGAGAUACGGCCGAGAUUGCGACGGGAGGCAGCAGGGGGGAAUAUUGCACGAUGGACGCAAGCUUGAUGCAGCGGCGCCGCGUGGGGUAUGACGGUCUUCGGGUUGUAAAAUCCAUGCGCUAGGGACGAAGCGUUAUGUGACGGUACCUGGAGAAGAAGCACCGGCUAACUACGUG